RNAcentral lists this ribosomal RNA (298 nucleotides) under uncultured bacterium. RNAcentral's name for it is "partial 16S ribosomal RNA". It matches the Rfam family "Bacterial small subunit ribosomal RNA", at positions 29 to 291 of the family's 1533-position model. The record is from RNAcentral.
AACGAACGCUGGCGGCGUGGCUAAGACAUGCAAGUCGUACGAUACGUUGUAAGCAAUAUGACGUAUAGUGGCGGACGGGUGAGUAAUGAAUAGGUAACGUACCCAGGGCACAGGGAUAACGUCGGGUCCCGCAAGGGAUCCUUUGCGAAAGUGACGGUAAUACCUGGUGAAGUCUUUGAGUGGCGUCACUCGAAGACCAUAAGGUGGGGAUCUUCGGACCUACCGGCCUAGGAGCGGCCUAUUUCCAUCAGCUAGUUGGUGAGGUAACGGCUCACCAAGGCGACGACGGGUAGCCGGA